CCUACGGGGGGCUGCAGUGGGGAAUAUUGGGCAAUGGGGGCAACCCUGAUCCAGCCAUGCCGCGUGUGUGAAGAAGGCCCUCGGGUUGUAAAGCACUUUCAGUGAGGAAGAACGCCUGGUGGUUAAUACCCAUCAGGAAAGACAUCACUCACAGAAGAAGCACCGGCUAACUCCGUGCCAGCAGCCGCGGUAAUACGGAGGGUGCGAGCGUUAAUCGGAAUUACUGGGCGUAAAGCGCGCGUAGGUGGCUUGAUAAGCCGGUUGUGAAAGCCCCGGGCUCAACCUGGGAACGGCAUCCGGAACUGUCAAGCUAGAGUGCAGGAGAGGAAGGUAGAAUUCCCGGUGUAGCGGUGAAAUGCGUAGAGAUCGGGAGGAAUACCAGUGGCGAAGGCGGCCUUCUGGACUGACACUGACACUGAGGUGCGAAAGCGUGGGUAGCAAACAGGAUUAGAUACCCUGGUAGUC
Molecule: ribosomal RNA, 465 nt
Filed under: Vreelandella stevensii
Lineage: Bacteria; Pseudomonadati; Pseudomonadota; Gammaproteobacteria; Oceanospirillales; Halomonadaceae
Description: partial 16S ribosomal RNA
Rfam family: Bacterial small subunit ribosomal RNA
Source: RNAcentral